This 4588-nucleotide long non-coding RNA is filed under the name Lactuca sativa (garden lettuce). Its description in RNAcentral is "long non-coding RNA (LSAT_LNC005149)". Lineage: Eukaryota; Viridiplantae; Streptophyta; Magnoliopsida; Asterales; Asteraceae. The record is from RNAcentral.
CUUGGUUGGUGAAAUGGGCACUAGUGUGUGUACACAAAAAGGGCAAGGCUGAUUUAACUAGAGAGAACCAAAGUAUCCUUAUUCUCAAGGUUAUUCCAAGUGUUCAUGGUGUUGUGUGAACCAUUUGAGGUGUCACACUUGGGUCACUAGGCACUCAAGCUUCAUGGAGUUAAGCAACAACAACAAGGUAUGUAUUCUAUCUAUUUUGUUAACCUAGUAUCAAUGUUUUAGUCUGCUAGUUAGGAUAAUACACUGGAUAUUCAUAUUUGUAUGUAUAAUAGAGAAAACAUAGAUCCAAGGUAUUUAGGGUUGCAUGUACACUUAGGAGUGUUAGAAUGCUCAUAACCCAACAGUGGUAUCAGAGCCUAGGCUUGUUUUCUUGUUAUACUUGCAAAAUCUGCUUAAAAAUCGAAUUUUGUUGCUGUCUGCACAGCAGACUCGCCGAGUCCAUAAAGGGACCCGACGAUUCCAAGGAAAAAUGCAUCCAACUCACCGAGUUUUUUUUCUUGUAUUUGACGAGUUGGAACCCCAGACAGCAUAUAUUCGACUGUUUUGGCUGGAAUUGGACUAGGAAUAUUACCCUAAGCUGUUUUUGACCUUAUAAACUUGUUUUUGAUGUGGUAAUGUUCAUGCUAAUCCAAUUUCAAAGAUAAUUGUCAAUAGAUUCAUCAAUAGAUUCAUGUUUUGCAUUGGUUUAAAAGUUAUGCUAAUUACAUGAAAAAGUUUGCUAUGAAUUACUUUUGUUCUUAUGGGUUGCUUAUAUUAAUAGGAAAAGUUAAUUGAUUAUGUGUUUUCAAUCCUUUUGAAUCUAAGAGUUGAUUCCAAAAUGUGUUUGUAUAAUUUGUCCUCAAGUUACACGAAAUGUCACAUUUAAGUUUCUUAAAACUCAUAAAAGUUGGAAAACAUUACAAAAUGAAGUGUCUUGUCCGUAUUAAAUGGUUUUAUGACUCCAUAACUUGUCCUCAAGUUAUGGAGGUUCAAGAGUCUCUUCAUUAAAUAAUAACAAUGUGUAGCCUUAAUUAGUUCCAUAAGUUACAAAAGAAGAAGUGUUACAUUCUUUAAUAGUUUAAAGUCUUCCAUAACUUGUCCUCAAGUUAUGGAACUUGAAGAGUUUUUUAAUUUAAACUACUUUAAACUCAAAAGUUAUGGAAUUAAUUAGUUUUGAAUAUUUUCAAAAAUUGCCCUCAAGUUUUGGAAUUUUAGAAGUUUUCACUCAUGAAUACUAUAAUUCCAAGUUAAGCCCUUAUAAUUUUAAAAAGUUAAAAUUCAACCCUUAGACUUUAUAAUAUUAUAAGUUAAUAAUAUUUAUAUAUGUAUAACAGAAAGUCAGUCUUACGGUUAGUAGGCCUCAUUCACGAAGCCGGUCUAUAAGGGGGGGUAUAAGGUUACUGCCUAUAAAAUGGCAGUUUAAUGGGUGUCCACUCUCACCCACUACUUCCUUGACCAGUGGAGGGUCGUUAGCCGAACGGGUAUGACAAGGACUAUAAUUCUCCCUUCAUUAAAAGUAUUAAUGAUAAAUAUAAAGUAACUAAAGGUUUUUUAUAAUUCCCAAUCUUAGUUAAUUUAGGAAAAUGUGAAUAAGGUGCUAAUCCAUGAAAUUACACUUUGCACUUUGUUUAAGUCGGUUAGUGGAGUGUAUGUGGUUAACCGACACACUAACUCGGACUUGUAAGAAAUGACAAAGGUCUAAAAAAUUGAGACUAUGAUUACGACAUCCCUUUUCAUAGUUCUGAAAUUGUUUACACAUGCAUGUGUGCUAUCUAAGGAAAGGUGUAUGAAUUUGAUAAAGUUCUAUCAAAGCAUUUCGUAUCAGAAAUCUGAACUUUGGUAAGAAAGUCAAUAAAGUAUUGUUUUUCUAGAAGUCCAGUUGAUUUCUGAGUACAUGUCAAAGCUAGUGGGAGCAUAAGUGUUAUGCUAAUAGUCAUCAUGUUAGUGGGAGCAUGAUAAUUAUGAGAAGUAUUGCAAGUUAGCAAUAUUAAUUAUAGAAAACAAAAGUUUCAAUUCGUGAGGUUACAGGGGUUGAAAAAGUUGUUUUGCUAUAAUUAAGGGAGAGGAAAUUAUACUUCAUCUCAAAUCUGUAAGCUUAGAUUGUGAGAUUUUAAUCAAAUUUAGUCAAGUAUAUAUAUGAAUGUUAUGUUGGAAUGGCUCAACAUAAGAAAAUUCUAUAUAUGGGUCCAUUAUUUGCGUUCUAAAAUUUGAUUAUGAUUACGGCAUCCCUUUUCAUAAUCUGAAUUUUAGAACUUGGCAAAGUGAAAUGGAAAUAUUAUAGCAAAGGACUGGUCUAGUAUCAUGUCUUUAGGUGAGACAUCAUGAAUCGUGUCCCAUAUGCUUCAGAAAUAGGAUCGAUUGCAUGUGCUAUAAUAUUCAUCCUUUCUAAAAUUUUCCAAAUGUCUGGGGCAUUAAGAAAGGAAAAGGUCUAGAAUUGGAUAUGACUAAAAGGAUUAACCAAUUGUUGAGGACAAUCUAAGGUUUAACAAAGAUUGGUUGCUCAGGGACAGUUUGAAGUAUAGUGUUAAGUUUUGGAAGGACCAUAUUGACAUAUUCUGAAAAGAGACAACUCUUGUUCAGAAGAGAUAGUUAAAAUGGGAAUAUGGAUAUAUGGGAGUUGUUUAAUAAAUCUGUGUUAGAUUAGGAAACUUAAUGCAAGAAGGAUGUUUCCAAGGAGUUGAUAUCCAUUGGAAUACUCUGUAAUGUCUGUUGACAAGUCUUUGUGACUUUGUGCAUAAUCAUUACAAGAGGAGCAAUGCAUAUAAGUUUAGAAUCUAACACAUUUAGCUAAAUGACAAGAAUUUGGAAUUUUUGCACUUGCAGUAAGGAAUUGGGAUUGUGAAAUGAGAAUCAUUGUAAUUAUGUUCUAUCGAUCUAUUUCACAAAGUAAAUAUCGUAGACAAACUUAGUAUGCAUACUUGGUGUAUGGCAUGACUAGUGUUUAGAAAAACAUAGUGUACAUGCUUGGAGCAUGGGAAAACUAUUGUUUUAAUUCAAGUAUAAAGUUGAUUGUUUAAAACAGUAUGCAAUGAAUGAUGGGUCAUCAAUAUGGUGAUAAAUAAAAGAUGUUUUAUUUAUAUUCAUCAGUUCUGAGACCAUAUUGGAUUCGAUUAUUCUUGUGUUUCACUUUGCAUGUUUUGACUUCUAGAAUAAAUAGGUCUCUCUUCCUGAUUGACUAUGUUAUUCAAACUAUUCGCAGUCGGUCACAUGUUGGAAGUAGAUAUGAAUCAAGACUGUCAUGGGUUGGAUUGUAUAGGUCUAACUUGUUGGACAAAGUGGUGCUACAACACUCAUGAGGGCUCAUAAUUUCUGAGUAUUGGAUUCAACCAACGCUCAUUGGAAUCACUUCAUGGAUUUUAUCACGAGUGAUCACGAGACGAUAAUAUCUUAUAUUCUUCAAACCUAGAAAUAUGUGUUGUUACUAUGAGUUGGUUAUACAUUGAUCGCAUGAAAACGCAUUGGUAACUUGAUAUUAUAAAACGUGCUUUGUGUAUGAUUCAACAUGUAGUAGAACAAGACAUAUGAGUCAAAGUUUAUCCAUUCCUUUUACCUUCAGGAUAAAAGCGAUGUUUGUGGGCCCCUCGACGAUUUAAUGAUGAUAUAUGUGAGUGCUUGGCCAAGCCAGGACUGAUUUGAUCUGUUCAAUCAGUCAGUCGUUGUAAAUCGGAAAUCAGGAAACAACAAAUGGACAAAGAGAAUGAUUUAUAAUCCAUGUAUCAGUUCAUAUGAUAUCUAGAAUGGAGGAAUAUAUGUUCCCUUAUCUAAUGGACAAGUCAUUGACAAAGGUCAGAGUUCAUCAACAAGGUCAGAGUUCGAUAGAAGCUUUUGAGAGCUAUGAUUGCUAGUCGGGUUCUGAAGUCAUACUUGCAAUAAUAGUUUUAGACUUAUCCAAGUGGGAGACUGUCGGAUUAAUGUCUAAGUCCAUAACUAUUAUUGGUAAGACUUGACCAGACCCAACAUGGUCCAUUUGGGUUGCAUGGCAACGGGACAAUUGGAUCGACAAGAUGAGGAAAAAUGAUACUAGUGAAUUAUAUUAAUAUAUUAUUAGUUCUAAUAUAUUAAUAUGUAAUCAUAUUAUUUAGUUAGUAUUGAUCAAAAAUUAAUUUAUUAAUUAAGUGAUCAAAAGGAACUAAUUAAAUAUGAACUCUUAGAUAUAUAUGUGUGGUGGGCCAAGUCUCCACACUAUAUAAAGACGUCCUUGGUUGGUGAAAUGGGCACUAGUGUGUGUACACAAAAAAGGGCAAGGCCGAUUUCACUAGAGAGAACCAAAAUAUCCUUAUUCUCAAGGUUAUUCCAAGUGUUCAUGGUGUUGUGUGAACCAUUUGAGGUGUCACACUUGGGGCACUAGGCACUCAAUAUUCAUGGAGUUAAGCAACAACAACAAGGUAUGUAUUCUAUCUAUUUUGUUACCCUAGUAUCAAUGUUGUGGUAUGCUAGUUAGGAUAAUACCUUGGAUAUUCAUAUUUGUAUGUAUAAUAUAGAAAACAUAGAUCUAAGGUAUUUAGGGUUGCAUGUACACUUAGGAGUGUUAGAAUGCUCAUAACCCAACACUAACAACACUCCCAAGCCUUAAAACUUUCCGAACGAAACCCCAAAAUCC